GAGCACGCGCGUGUGGCAUAUCAAUAAGCGGAGGAAAAGAAACUAACAAGGAUUCCCUUAGUAACGGCGAGUGAAGCGGGAAGAGCUCAAAUUUGAAAUCUUCAAGGUUCUACCUUGACGAAUUGUAGUUUAUAGAAGUGUUUUCUGUUAGUGGAGUGGCAAAAGUUCUUUGGAAUAGGACAUCAUAGAGGGUGAGAAUCCCGUAUUUGGUCAUUCCUCCUAGCGUUGUGAUACACUUUCAAAGAGUCGGAUUGUUUGGGAAUGCAGUCCAAAAUGGGUGGUAAAUUUCAUCUAAAGCUAAAUAUUGGCGAGAGACCGAUAGCGAACAAGUACCGUGAGGGAAAGAUGAAAAGAACUUUGAAAAGAGAGUUAAACAGUACGUGAAAUUGUCAAAAGGGAAGCGUUUGACACCAGUGUUGUUUUUCCGAAAAUCAAUUACGAAUGUUUUAGUUUUUGAGGAGUUAUGACUUCAUCGGCUUGCUUCUCUCUUUACUGAAACUUUCUUAAUGCACUUUUCGGUUAACAAGUCAACAUCAAUUUCUUUUGUUGUAAAAGGGUAUGAGGAAGGUGGCUUUCUUUUCGGAGAAAGUGUUUAUAGCCUUGUAGCCUCUGCAAUCGGAGAGAUUGAGGUCUGCAGCGUAGAUCCUUCGGGGUUAGAUACAGUUUGUGCUAAGUUAUAGCUUUUCAUAGACAACUUGUUGACUAUGUUUAGUCUUGUAGCUUACUCGCUUAUGCUAUUUUACCUACGCUUAGGAUGUUGAUGUGAUACUGCGAGCA
Molecule: ribosomal RNA, 777 nt
Filed under: uncultured Neocallimastigales
Lineage: Eukaryota; Fungi; Neocallimastigomycota; Neocallimastigomycetes; Neocallimastigales
Description: partial large subunit ribosomal RNA
Rfam family: Eukaryotic large subunit ribosomal RNA
Source: RNAcentral